AGAUUAGAUGUGGAUGUGAUCUACUAUCGCAUUGAUAUGAUCCAUGCUUGUUGAUUUUUAAUUUCAGAUUUUAUAUAUACCAUAUAUCAUUUUAUAGGUCCUAGUGUAGGUAUUUUAAGAUUUGAUCUAAAGCAUGCUUAUUUGAUUAAAUUGUUUAAUUUGGUCUGCUUUCGUCAAAAAAUUUUGAAAUGCUUGCUUAAAACGCCUGCCCAUUUCCUUCACUGCACACUCCGCUCCACC
This 240-nucleotide long non-coding RNA is filed under the name Elaeis guineensis (African oil palm). RNAcentral describes it as "long non-coding RNA (EGUI_LNC021638)". Lineage: Eukaryota; Viridiplantae; Streptophyta; Magnoliopsida; Arecales; Arecaceae. The record is from RNAcentral.